RNAcentral lists this long non-coding RNA (2266 nucleotides) under Physcomitrium patens. RNAcentral describes it as "long non-coding RNA (PPAT_LNC010311)". Lineage: Eukaryota; Viridiplantae; Streptophyta; Bryopsida; Funariales; Funariaceae. The record is from RNAcentral.
AUUAUAGUUAAAAAUAAUUUGUAAUUUAAAAAAUAAGGUACUUAAAUAUAGCCUUUGAAAACAACCUCAAGAUUUUUAAAAAUUCUAAAUCCAAAUAACCUUAUGCUUUCUAUCUAAUAUCCUAUCAAUUCUAAAUAUUAAAUAUUUUUUAAAUCCGGCAUCCUAAAUCCCAUCAAUAUUUAAAUUUUUUAAUUCUAUGAAGCCUUUAAUCCUUAGAAUAUCCUAAAAAAGCUUAAUAUAUCUUUACCGAAUCCUAAGCAUAUGCUAAAUUUUAAUUAUUAAAUUAUAAUAAAACAUAGAUUUUAAUUAAGUAGUUAGAAUAAUUUUUAAAUUUUAUAAAAAUAUUUCUUUGUAAGUAUUAUAUUUACUUAAAAGACUCAAGAGAUAUCUAAUUUAUCAAUGGAAAUUUAUUAUAGUAAUUUUCCUACUAAUUUUAUUGAAUUUCUUAUUUUAAAUUUUGAGAAGAAUUUUAGUAGUUAAUUUUUAAUCUUUUGUUGUCAAAUUCUACUCAAACUUAAUUUAUACCUUUUUGUGAUGUCUUACUACUAGCAUCUCAAAUUUAUUCUUUCUUUCAAUUAUAAAUCCUUAAAUAUCUAAAAAAUUACAACUAAUCUUGAAUUAUUUUGUUUUUAUAGUUCCUUGUGUAUGCAGCCAAAUAUCUCUUAAUUUCAUUUCAAAAAGAUCAGAAAAACUUAAAAUACAUCUAUAUAUAAUAUGGACUCCUUAUACAAUUAAAAAAAACUUAAAGUAAAAUUAAAAUAGUUUCAAAUCAAGCACAAAAUUUUAAAUUAUUUUUGAAACUAACUUUCUAGUCUCUCUCUUCGCUUCUUCCAAUCUUCUAAAAUAUCCUCCACUUAUUAUAAAACUUAGUUUUUGUAUAAUGUAAUCAAAUAUUAAUCUUGUCUCACAUAUAGUCAUCUUUUAGAUAUCAAUCAUACUAUUUUUAUGAUAAAAUCUGCAAGAGCCUACCUUUACCUUGUUCUAAAAGUAAUUGUAUAAUUUUUCUAUCAAUUCUAUCUUGUUUUGAUCUAUAUAUAGUCGUUCAAAAGGUAGCAAAAGCCUUUCAAGUUCAAAAGCACCAUAGAACAUUAUUAUAAAUCUAAAUGGUCUUUUAAUUAUAUUUAUUAUCUAUUAAAAUAUUAUAAAUACUAAUUAGUAUGUAAAAAAAACAUAGGAAAGAAAAAUCAUAAUAUUUUACUUAUUUAAAAUCAAUUGAUUUAAAUUGAGUUAAUUACUAGAUUUUUUUUAAAUGUAGAAUAAAAUAGCCUUAAAUUGAUAUUAGUAUUAUAAAAAGUUUAUUUUAUUUUAUAAAUUUUAUUAACAUUUUAUAUAUAAUAUUUUAGGAAUUUUAAGAAUAAAUUUUUAAAAAUUUGUAAAAAUGAUUUUAUCACUUUCAUAGGUUAUUGUAAAGAAAUGGAGCGAGAUUUGACAGAUUUCCAAGACUUUAAGACUAAUUGAAUAUCUUUCAAAACCAUGGUAAACUUAAGAAUGAAAAAAAACAAAAAAAAAAAAAAAAAAAAAAAAAACUUGUACUAGUAGAAAACAUAGUGACCUAUAGCUAGAGUAGUAUUUGUAAGAAGAAAUGUGUACAUGUAUCAUAUGAGUUGUUGCAGCUUGGAAGUAGGUAGGAGUAUAAAACUAAGGCCUUGUGGCCCCUCUAAGAUAUCUACAGAGCACUUUGUGAGCCUUGGUAAAGCUUGAAUCAUUAACUACGUAAACUAGGUAUCCUUGAAAUAAAAUUUGUUCAUUUAAUAUUUUUUAUUUUUUAUUCUUAUCCAAAAACCUUCAUAACUUAUUCAUAAUAACUUGGAAUCAUCUUUAUUUUUAUACUAUUAGAAAGAUAGAAGAAUUUCUUUUACUAAAAUAUAUUUUAUAUUUUUAUAAUUUAUGUUGUACAAAAUAAAGAUCUAAUUAAAAAAAACUAUAACAACUUUUGUUGUGUGUAUUUAUAUGACUGAAUUUCUUUCACUUCUUUUGUACUUCUUUUUCCAAUGUUCUUUGUAGAUUGUACCUCACUUUAUAUAAUUAAUUACAAAAAAUUGUUAAUUAAGUCCCACUUAUAAUUUGGAUUGAACAGUGAAUUUUAUCCUUAUAAUUAAUAGAUAAAAUUGAGAUUACAAAAAAAUAGCCUAAAUUUUAAAUAAUAUAUAUAUAUAGAUACUAAUAAUUUUAAAAAACAAAAUUAAGAUAUUUAAAAUACUUAGUUGGUCUUUAUAAAUAAUAAUAAUAUUAUAAAUUUAUAAUAAUAAUAAUAAUAACUUAUAUA